UAAGGUGGUUAUAGCGACGGGGCUCACCUCUUACCUUUCCGAACAGAGAAGUUAAGCCCGUUUGCGCCGAUGGUACUGCUAUCCAGUGGGAGAGUAGGUCGCCGCCUUCC
RNAcentral lists this ribosomal RNA (110 nucleotides) under Aequorivita marisscotiae. The record is from RNAcentral. Lineage: Bacteria; Pseudomonadati; Bacteroidota; Flavobacteriia; Flavobacteriales; Flavobacteriaceae.